RNAcentral lists this ribosomal RNA (156 nucleotides) under uncultured bacterium. RNAcentral describes it as "partial 16S ribosomal RNA". It matches the Rfam family "Bacterial small subunit ribosomal RNA", at positions 197 to 354 of the family's 1533-position model. The record is from RNAcentral.
GUGUCCAAAGAUUUUAUCGCUCGAAGAUGGGCUCGCGUCCGAUUAGGUAGUUGGUGAGGUAACGGCUCACCAAGCCGACGAUCGGUAGCCGGACUGAGAGGUUGAACGGCCACAUUGGGACUGAGACACGGCCCAGACUCCUACGGGAGGCAGCAG